UCCUUUUCAUGUCCUCACCUACCUAGAGUCACGCCAGCAACAUAGCUGCUGCUGCUGCUCUCUGGACUGGUUCCCUCACUUGGCUCGACCACAGCUGAUUUCUACCUGGUGAUUUCUGCCUUCAUUCACCUGCCCAGCUAUCUCCCUUGCGGCCACCCUUCACGUGGCCUGAGAAGAAGAUAUUAUGCAGAAGCCAGAGAAAAAAAGCGCAGAUGACUCUCAGAUGAAACCAUCAAAAUAGUUGAGCAAAAAAAAGCAGGCAAAGCAGCAGACAAAUGGGAAGAAACAAGAAGAUUGAAUGCAGCUUUCCAGAGGGCAGUAAGGAAGAACAGUGACAUUUAUCAGGAUAAGCGGUGUAAAAAUCUUGAAUCAGACCACGAAGGGUCACACCGAGAAUUCUUU
Long non-coding RNA from Thamnophis elegans (Western terrestrial garter snake), 402 nucleotides. RefSeq lists it as uncharacterized. The record is from RefSeq and is a predicted model, not a curated record. NCBI's taxonomy places the organism in Eukaryota, Metazoa, Chordata, Lepidosauria, Squamata, Natricidae. The transcript is spliced from 2 exons.